UACGUAGGCAGCAAGCGUUGUUCGGAAUUACUGGGCGUAAAGAGUGUGUAGGCGGUGCUCUAAGUUUGUUGUGAAAUCUCCCGGCUUAACUGGGAGGGUGCGGCGAAAACUGGAGUGCUCGAGGGUGGGAGAGGAAAGCGGAAUUCCUGGUGUAGCGGUGAAAUGCGUAGAUAUCAGGAGGAACACCUGCGGUGUAGACAGCUUUCUGGACCAUUUCUGACGCUGAGACACGAAAGCGUGGGUAG
RNAcentral lists this ribosomal RNA (245 nucleotides) under uncultured bacterium. RNAcentral describes it as "partial 16S ribosomal RNA". It matches the Rfam family "Bacterial small subunit ribosomal RNA", at positions 524 to 768 of the family's 1533-position model. The record is from RNAcentral.